This 469-nucleotide ribosomal RNA is filed under the name uncultured bacterium. Its description in RNAcentral is "SSU rRNA". It matches the Rfam family "Bacterial small subunit ribosomal RNA", at positions 26 to 521 of the family's 1533-position model. The record is from RNAcentral.
AGAACGAACGCUGGCGGCAUGCCUAACACAUGCAAGUCGAACGAGAUCUUCGGAUCUAGUGGCGCACGGGUGCGUAACGCGUGGGAAUCUGCCUUUCGGUACGGAAUAACUCAUGGAAACGUGUGCUAAUACCGUAUGAUGUCGCGAGACCAAAGAUUUAUCGCCGAGAGAUGAGCCCGCGUAGGAUUAGCUAGUUGGUGGGGUAAAGGCCUACCAAGGCGACGAUCCUUAGCUGGUCUGAGAGGAUGAUCAGCCACACUGGGACUGAGACACGGCCCAGACUCCUACGGGAGGCAGCAGUGGGGAAUAUUGGACAAUGGGCGCAAGCCUGAUCCAGCCAUGCCGCGUGCAGGAUGAAGGCCUUCGGGUUGUAACUGCUUUGUACGGAACGAAAGGUCUUUCUAAUAAGAGGGCCCAUGACGGUACCGUAAGAAUAAGCACCGGCUAACUACGUGCCAGCAGCCGCGGU